RNAcentral lists this ribosomal RNA (443 nucleotides) under uncultured Bacteroidota bacterium. Its description in RNAcentral is "bacterial SSU rRNA". It matches the Rfam family "Bacterial small subunit ribosomal RNA", at positions 917 to 1359 of the family's 1533-position model. Lineage: Bacteria; Pseudomonadati; Bacteroidota. The record is from RNAcentral.
GGGCCCGCACAAGCGGAGGAACAUGUGGUUUAAUUCGAUGAUACGCGAGGAACCUUACCCGGGUUUGAACGCAUUCGGACCGACCAGGAAACUGGUCUUCUAGCAAUAGCCGUUUGCGAGGUGCUGCAUGGUUGUCGUCAGCUCGUGCCGUGAGGUGUCGGCUUAAGUGCCAUAACGAGCGCAACCCUUAUCGGUAGUUACCAGCAUGUAAUGAUGGGGACGUCUACCGAGACUGCCAGCGUAAGCUGUGAGGAAGGUGGGGAUGACGUCAAAUCAGCACGGCCCUUACAUCCGGGGCGACACACGUGUUACAAUGGCGAGGACAAAGAGCAGCCAGCGGGUGACCGUGAGCUAAUCUCUAAACCUCGUCUCAGUUCGGAUCGAAGUCUGCAACCCGACUUCGUGAAGCUGGAUUCGCUAGUAAUCGCGCAUCAGCCAUGGCG